RNAcentral lists this ribosomal RNA (343 nucleotides) under Salmo trutta (river trout). RNAcentral's name for it is "16S ribosomal RNA". The record is from RNAcentral. Lineage: Eukaryota; Metazoa; Chordata; Actinopteri; Salmoniformes; Salmonidae.
GCACCAUUAGGAUGUCCUGAUCCAACAUCGAGGUCGUAAACCCCCUCGUCGAUAGGGACUCUGGGAGAGGAUUGCGCUGUUAUCCCUAGGGUAACUCGGUCCGUUGAUCGGCGUNUCGCGGACUCAUUUUUGGUCAGAAAUUCUGGUACUUAGAGUUGUGGCUCUUGGUUGUGGGGGCAGUGCAGCUCCACAUGGGGGCUUUGUUUUCCCCCGCGGUCGCCCCAACCAAAGACAUAGGGGCUAGGGGUCACUGUGUUUUUACCUGUUAAUUUAAGGUUACUUGACGUGAUCUGCCUGGUGUCUAAAGCUCCAUAGGGUCUUCUCGUCUUAUGUGUUUAUGUCC